CGGGGUGAGUAAUGUCUGGGAAACUGCCUGAUGGAGGGGGAUAACUACUGGAAACGGUAGCUAAUACCGCAUGACGUCGCAAGACCAAAGAGGGGGACCUUCGGGCCUCUUGCCAUCGGAUGUGCCCAGAUGGGAUUAGCUAGUAGGUGGGGUAACGGCUCACCUAGGCGACGAUCCCUAGCUGGUCUGAGAGGAUGACCAGCCACACUGGAACUGAGACACGGUCCAG
This 229-nucleotide ribosomal RNA is filed under the name uncultured bacterium. RNAcentral's name for it is "partial 16S ribosomal RNA". It matches the Rfam family "Bacterial small subunit ribosomal RNA", at positions 104 to 334 of the family's 1533-position model. The record is from RNAcentral.